This 219-nucleotide long non-coding RNA is filed under the name Setaria italica (foxtail millet). RNAcentral describes it as "long non-coding RNA (SITA_LNC006863)". The record is from RNAcentral. Lineage: Eukaryota; Viridiplantae; Streptophyta; Magnoliopsida; Poales; Poaceae.
AAGUUGCUUACCGAUCUACCUCGUUUGCUAGCGGUGAUACUAAAGCUCACUAGUGGACUUGUUAGUUGUGGAUCCUGAAUCACUAAGUUUCAAUAGAGGGAUAUUGAUUUUAGUGGGAGUAGAUUCUGUUAAAAUAGUUUAAUGUAAUUUGCUCUAUCAUGGAUACGUUUGUCUUAGUGUAUUUUGCAUUACUUUUGUUGUAGAUUAAAUGGCACCUAG